CCUACGGGAGGCAGCAGUGGGGAAUAUUGCGCAAUGCGCGAAAGCGUGACGCAGCGACGCCGCGUGAGGGAUGAAGGUCUUCGGAUCGUAAACCUCUGUCAGCAGGGAAGAAAGGUCACUGUGCUAAUCAGCAGUGAAUUGACGGUACCUGCAAAAGAAGCACCGGCUAACUCCGUGCCAGCAGCCGCGGUAAUACGGAGGGGGCGAGCGUUAAUCGGAAUUACUGGGCGUAAAGCGCUCGUAGGCGGUAUGGUAAGUCAAGGGUGAAAGCCCCGCGCUCAACGUGGGAACUGCCUGUGAAACUGGCAAACUGGAGUGUGUGAGAGGAUAGUGGAAUUCCAGGUGUAGGAGUGAAAUGCGUAGAUAUCUGGAGGAAUAUCAGUGGCGAAGGCGACUAUCUGGCACAUAACUGACGCUGAGGAGCGAAAGCGUGGGUAGCAAACAGGAUUAGAUACCCUGGUAGUC
This 465-nucleotide ribosomal RNA is filed under the name uncultured bacterium. RNAcentral describes it as "partial 16S ribosomal RNA". It matches the Rfam family "Bacterial small subunit ribosomal RNA", at positions 338 to 795 of the family's 1533-position model. The record is from RNAcentral.